AGGGAAUCUUCCGCAAUGGACGCAAGUCUGACGGAGCAACGCCGCGUGAGUGAAGAAGGUUUUCGGAUCGUAAAACUCUGUUGUUAGAGAAGAACAAGUGCUAGAGUAACUGUUAGCGCCUUGACGGUAUCUAACCAGAAAGCCACGGCUAACUACGUGCCAGCAGCCGCGGUAAUACGUAGGUGGCAAGCGCUGUCCGGAUUUAUUGGGCGUAAAGCGAGCGCAGGCGGUUCCUUAAGUCUGAUGUGAAAGCCCCCGGCUCAACCGGGGAGGGUCAUUGGAAACUGGGGAACUUGAGUGCAGAAGAGGAGAGUGGAAUUCCAUGUGUAGCGGUGAAAUGCGUAGAUAUAUGGAGGAACACCAGUGGCGAAGGCGACUCUCUGGUCUGUAACUGACGCUGAGGCUCGAAAGCGUGGGUAGCAAACAGGAUUAGAUACCCUGGUAGUCCACGCCGUAAACGAUGAGUGCUAAGUGUUGGAGGGUUUCCGCCCUUCAGUGCUGCAGUUAACGCAUUAAGCACUCCGCCUGGGGAGUACGACCGCAAGGUUG
Molecule: ribosomal RNA, 549 nt
Filed under: uncultured bacterium
Lineage: Bacteria
Description: bacterial SSU rRNA
Rfam family: Bacterial small subunit ribosomal RNA
Source: RNAcentral